UAGCAAUGUGCCGGAACAUUGUGUGUAA
RNAcentral lists this small RNA (28 nucleotides) under Bombyx mori (domestic silkworm). Its description in RNAcentral is "ovarian small RNA-1904". The record is from RNAcentral. Lineage: Eukaryota; Metazoa; Arthropoda; Insecta; Lepidoptera; Bombycidae.